CCCUUAGAUGUUCUGGGCCGCACGCGCGCUACACUGAUGCGUUCAACAAGUUUCCUUGGCCGAGAGGCCUGGGCAAUCUUCUUAAUAUGUAUCGUGAUAGGGAUAGAUUAUUGCCAUUAUUAAUCUUGAACGAGGAAUUCCUAGUAAACGCAGAUCAUCAAUCUGCAUUGAUUACGUCCCUGCCCUUUGUACACACCGCCCGUCGCACCUACCGAUUGGAUGUUCCGGUGAAGCCUCGGGAUGAGGACUGGUGCCUUUAUUGGCAUGAGUUGUUCAGAACUUGUCUAAACCUUAUCAUCUAGAGGAAGGUGAAGUCGUAACA
RNAcentral lists this ribosomal RNA (322 nucleotides) under uncultured eukaryote. Its description in RNAcentral is "partial 18S ribosomal RNA". It matches the Rfam family "Eukaryotic small subunit ribosomal RNA", at positions 1470 to 1796 of the family's 1831-position model. The record is from RNAcentral.